GACGAACGCUGGCGGCGUGCUUAACACAUGCAAGUCGAACGAAGAGCGAUGGAAGCUUGCUUCUAUCAAUCUUAGUGGCGAACGGGUGAGUAACGCGUAAUCAACCUGCCCUUCAGAGGGGGACAACAGUUGGAAACGACUGCUAAUACCGCAUACGAUCUAAUCUCGGCGUCGAGGAUAGAUGAAAGGUGGCCUCUACAUGUAAGCUAUCACUGAAGGAGGGGAUUGCGUCUGAUUAGCUAGUUGGAGGGGUAACGGCCCACCAAGGCGAUGAUCAGUAGCCGGUCGGAGAGGAUGGACGGCCACAUUGGGACUGGGACACGGCCCAGACUCCUACGGGAGGCAGCAGUGGGGAAACUUCCGAAAUGGGCGAAAGUCUGACGGAGCAACGCCGCGUGAGUGAUGACGGCCUUCGGGUUGUAAAGCUCUGUUAAUCGGGACGAAAGGCCUUCUUGCGAAUAGGGAGAAGGAUUGACGGUACCGGAAUAGAAAGCCACGGCUAACUACGUG
RNAcentral lists this ribosomal RNA (510 nucleotides) under uncultured bacterium. Its description in RNAcentral is "partial 16S ribosomal RNA". It matches the Rfam family "Bacterial small subunit ribosomal RNA", at positions 28 to 507 of the family's 1533-position model. The record is from RNAcentral.